Molecule: ribosomal RNA, 429 nt
Filed under: Chloroflexota bacterium
Lineage: Bacteria; Bacillati; Chloroflexota
Description: Chloroflexi bacterium partial 16S ribosomal RNA
Rfam family: Bacterial small subunit ribosomal RNA
Source: RNAcentral
UGGGGAAUAUUGCACAAUGGGCGCAAGCCUGAUGCAGCCAUGCCGCGUGUAUGAAGAAGGCCUUCGGGUUGUAAAGUACUUUCAGCGGGGAGGAAGGGAGUAAAGUUAAUACCUUUGCUCAUUGACGUUACCCGCAGAAGAAGCACCGGCUAACUCCGUGCCAGCAGCCGCGGUAAUACGGAGGGUGCAAGCGUUAAUCGGAAUUACCGGGCGUAAAGCGCACGCAGGCGGUUUGUUAAGUCAGAUGUGAAAUCCCCGGGCUCAACCUGGGAACUGCAUCUGAUACUGGCAAGCUUGAGUCUCGUAGAGGGGGGUAGAAUUCCAGGUGUAGCGGCGAAAUGCGUAGAGAUCUGGAGGAAUACCGGUGGCGAAGGCGGCCCCCUGGACGAAGACUGACGCUCAGGUGCGAAAGCGUGGGGAGCAAACAGG